Long non-coding RNA from Lynx canadensis (Canada lynx), 697 nucleotides. RefSeq lists it as uncharacterized. The record is from RefSeq and is a predicted model, not a curated record. NCBI's taxonomy places the organism in Eukaryota, Metazoa, Chordata, Mammalia, Carnivora, Felidae. The transcript is spliced from 3 exons.
UCGGCAGCAUUUUCCCUCCAGAGAGCUGAGCCCUCACGGCCACAGAGGCUGGGGGACGAGGGCGGGCGGAGCAGGGGCAGUGGCUUAGCGAAAGCCAGGGUUGCAGGUCCAGAGGGUUGCUGAGGCUCUCAGGCGGUGACUACAAAAUGUGGACCAAGCAGCAGAAUCACCUGGAUGGCAUGCACCCUACUUCCCAUGUGAUGACGUCACUGAGCAAAGCUGGGAACAGAAGUGGCCCCUCGGCGCCUGUGAGCUGGGAAGGGAAAAGAAGCUUGGAGAACUAUUACACUUGGCCUCCAUCUCGUAUUGAUCACGGAGCCAGGAUCUGACCCUAAAUCUUGCUGAUUCCAGAAACCUUAUUAAGAAUACACACGUCAAGGUUUGCAGUUGGUUUCCUUCUUUUCCUCAUCGCUUUGUGGGAGGAUCGAGUCACAUUACAUCCACAAAACACCUGACCCACAUCCAGCUGCUGGUAUGCUCAUGCAAGAUGGUGGGUCCCGUCCUUCCUAUGAUGAUCUCCACAUUCCCUGAACAGACCCCCGUAAGUGAGUCUUCUCUUCAAAGUAUUCCCAAAGCAGAGGCCUCUUUAGCCGCAAAACAAAGUAAGGCCACGUGUUGUACACAGAGGUUUUAUCAUUACUCAUAUGCCCCUUAGUCCUCUGACCCCCCGUCUAUGGCUAAAAUAAAUGGAGAAAUA